This 454-nucleotide ribosomal RNA is filed under the name uncultured bacterium. RNAcentral describes it as "partial 16S ribosomal RNA". It matches the Rfam family "Bacterial small subunit ribosomal RNA", at positions 28 to 507 of the family's 1533-position model. The record is from RNAcentral.
GAUGAACGCUGACAGAAUGCUUAACACAUGCAAGUCAACUUGAACUUCGGUUUGGGUGGCGGACGGGUGAGUAACGCGUAAAGAACUUGCCUCACAGCUAGGGACAACAUUUGGAAACGAAUGCUAAUACCUGAUAUUAUGAAUUUAGGGCAUCCUAGAAUUAUGAAAGCUAUAUGCGCUGUGAGAGAGCUUUGCGUCCCAUUAGCUAGUUGGAGAGGUAACGGCUCACCAAGGCGAUGAUGGGUAGCCGGCCUGAGAGGGUGAACGGCCACAAGGGGACUGAGACACGGCCCUUACUCCUACGGGAGGCAGCAGUGGGGAAUAUUGGACAAUGGACCAAGAGUCUGAUCCAGCAAUUCUGUGUGCACGAUGAAGUUUUUCGGAAUGUAAAGUGCUUUCAGUUGGGAAGAAAAAAAUGACGGUACCAACAGAAGAAGUGACGGCUAAAUACGUG